AUGCUUGUCUCAAAGAUUAAGCCAUGCAUGUCUAAGUACAUACUUUUGCACGGUGAAACCGCGAAUGGCUCAUUAAAUCAGUUAUGGUUCCUUAGAUCGUUUUUACUACAUGGAUAACUGUGGUAAUUCUAGAGCUAAUACAUGCAAAAAGCUCCGACCGUAUGGGAAGAGCGCUUUUAUUAGACCAAAACCAAUGGGGUCGCAAGACUCCUUUGACUGGUGACUCUGGAUAACUUUCUGCUGAUCGCAUGGCCUAGAGCCGGCGACGUAUCUUUCAAAUGUCUGACCUAUCAACUUUCGAUGGUAAGCGAUUUGCCUACCAUGGUUGCAACGGGUAACGGGGAAUA
This 347-nucleotide ribosomal RNA is filed under the name uncultured fungus. Its description in RNAcentral is "SSU rRNA". It matches the Rfam family "Eukaryotic small subunit ribosomal RNA", at positions 28 to 371 of the family's 1831-position model. Lineage: Eukaryota; Fungi. The record is from RNAcentral.